Molecule: non-coding RNA, 4327 nt
Organism: Dermacentor albipictus
Lineage: Eukaryota; Metazoa; Arthropoda; Arachnida; Ixodida; Ixodidae
Source: RefSeq, a predicted model, not a curated record
GGGUCAAUACGUAUAGCGUCUUCGCGGCUGGCAAGAACUGGGACACGCCCUUAGUACAUGAGUGUCUUUACAUGCUAAGCCCGUUGGAAUGAGUCCAUCGUACCCGGCUGUCAAGAGUGCGACCUCGUACUCGGCAAUCAAGCGCGAUAUCUACUCAGCCACCACGAAGGAUGGAGGCACAUUCUUGGAUCUUCCGCGUUUCUUACUUCAACAGCGUCCAGAGAAGCACACGGCCGGAACUGGAACGACAUAUGGUUCCCGUGGUGGAGCGGUUCACCUCGGAGAGGUGGUGCUGGGACCCGGCGCGCUCAUCAUCGAGAACGAGAACCUGGUUGUCGUGGCUGUCGCCUGGUCGCCCAAGCUGCUCUCUCAGGGCCAAGAUUUCCUCAGCUUCUCGCUGCGCUUCAACGGUGACCACUGCCUGCACGAAGACUUCGCCGGCGAUGGCGACGAGCAGGAUGGCAGAAACAACAUCGUGAUCACCAUCCCGUUCGAGGCGCUGUCUAUGGCCAACAACAGCUCUCUCCUAGCCGCUGGCGAGGCCUACCGACCCAUCCAUGAAAUGGAGAAGGGACCACGCAUUUCGUUCAUCUCGUACCGAAACGACAAGUUCUUCCGGCCAGUUCGCUAUAGUCCUGCGUCCCUGGUCAGCACAGGGAAGUCGUGCUGUCAGCCAAGGUUGGCAACGGCAAGAUUGAAAAUCUCACCGAUCCCUUGAUCUACUCGCAUCCGACUUAUAACGCCGAAAGAUACGUCUGUGCUUUCUGGGAUGAACGCCGAUCCUCUACCAGGAACGUCAUUGGCACCCCACCACUACCGAAUUCUGUCUCUCAUAUCCUACGUUGGAUGUACAAUGUCCAUCGUCGGCCUGUUUUUCACUAUUCUACCUACUCCAUUUCCAGGUGCCUCAACAAGGACCGCUCGGGCAAGAUCCUCCUCAUACCGUGCUCAGCCAUGCUGCUGCUGAAGGUGGCCUUCCUUCUGGGUUCGCUCCACCAAUGCUUCCCCAGGUUCGAGCUGUGCCUGGGCACGGCCGUGGCCACGCACAACUUCCCGCUCGCCUGCCUCGCCUGGAUGGGCGUCGAGGCGGCCAACAUGUACCAGAUGCUCGUUCACGUGUUCGCCUCUUCUGAGACGUCCUUCAUGCUCAAGCGCGUUGUCAUCGCCUGGGGUAUUUCAGCGGCUAUCGUUGGCACCUGCCUGGCCAUGGACUUAAAGCCUUACAGAAGCCAAUAUGACUAGUGCGUGAUAUCACCCAGAAACCCGUUCAUCUACUACAUCGCAUUCCUGGGCAUCUCCUGCUUCAUCCUCUUCGUCAACUCGCUCGCCUUCAUCAUGGUGACCCGGGUGCUCUUCAAGCCGCGCAUGGCUGGAGCCAACACGACGGCCGCCAACCACAACUCGACUUCCGCUUCCGGUCCCGGCUCCACCAACCCGCUCCCCAUCCCCGCGGCUGAAGUUCGCGGCGCCUUCACCAUCAUGACCAUGCUCGGGGUCACGUGGAUAUUCGGCGUAUUCGCCGUGGGCGAAGCGCGCACCGUGUUCCAGUACGUCUUCUUCGUGUGCAACUCGAUACAUGGCUUCCUCAUAUUCGUGGUGCGGGUGCUGUAGUAUCUGGAUGCCCGGGCAGCCUGGUCCCAGCUGGCCUCGACCGGUAGGUUCAAGAAGAACCGAGGCUCUGGACCGCAGGCGGCGUCCUGGUGCGCGUACUCGAAUCCCAAGUGCGACAGUCACUCAUCGAUGGUGCGGGUCACCUCGAACAGCACCGACAGCACGAGCACGGUGGUGUUCAACAGCAACAUGUGGAACAAGGGAACUGGAGGAGGCGGCGGUGGCCCAGCAAGUGCCCGCGACUGCCCCUCGAGACUGUCUCGCUUCUCGAGUGUCGGCAGCCUGCUGAAGAACUGCAACCUUCAGAAGGCUGACAAAGGCACAGCGACUCUGAAUAGAAAGGACAAGGCCUUCUCCAAGUUACAGGUAAUCACCGAAGAAGUCGGCGCGAAGCAGAACCGCAAGGAAUUCUACUCGUCCGAAGAUCAAGUCACGUCUCUGGUGUCCGACCUGUACGCCGGCCAGGAGCACCAAAUCAAAAGCAACAGCGUCGACGCGUCCGACCCGAAGAAGUACAUCGACGACAACUCUCGAAGCACGGUUACGACGCUGGGUCUGGGAUUCAACCAGAAGGCACACAUACUGUUCGCCUACACGGGAGGCUAGGCCACUCUCAUACACGUAAACGGCGGGGUGCACUCACCGCUGGACCAGCCGAAGCUCGAGUCCUUCAGCACGUUCCAGCGGUCGUCGCCCGUGCCCGCCAGCACGCCCAAGAUUCCAGAACUGCCGCGGUCCUGGAACAAUGCUGCGGCGACACUUUGGGCUGUACCCGUGGACGGCAUCGUCUCGGACCACGAUUCCCUGCGUAGCUCCACAAGGAUGGCGGCGACCGAGGAGACGUCGUUCGUGACGCCCAGGCAAAUAAGCAUCACAGUCACCGCAUCUUGAAGAGUUGCAGACAGCAAGAACACAUGAUCGUGUUCCCGUCACUAAUUAACAAGUUCACGGAUUGGAAACAGGACAGCGUGCCUUUUAUUCAGAGUUCCCAUCUUUGAGACGCGUGACAUCAUGUCCUUGAGUGAAUAUUUCAUGCAGGUAUCAUGUCGUCAUCGCGGGAUGUGCAAUAGCAGUCGCCAAGUAGGAGCUGUGCUCUUUACCUACAACUCAGUGCUGGUGAACUGGAGGUAUGAACACGUAGCGCGUUUCUCUGCCACCCCCAAGGGCUUGCAACAGAGUCUGUGUUUUGUGCACCGAGGCGCCUUCUGGACUGCUGUGUCUCUUAGAAUUGUCAUCGUUCUACAAUAAGGACUGGUGUUUGCUUCGUUGUUGCUCUUAAGCCGUGCCCUUCUGUGCUGGCAUCUGUCCAUGGCCGAAGGUUACUGACAGAACAGUGGUGUUGUGUGCCUCACACAUUUCUAUGCCGCGUUUCUUACUGCGGGCCCUUCCUGGUCCCUUGUGGCAUUUUCCUACGGCUUCCAUUUCCCCAUUGCCUUAUGUAUGCCAGAAAUCGCAAACCAAGAGGCCUGGCGACAGUGAAACUGAGUGAAUAACAGACGCUCUUUGUAUUUGCCUCUGCCCAUGGUUAUUCGUUACGUGGGGAUCUGUGGGACAAUAUCGGCGCGACAAAAACGCGUGAACCAGCAUUUUCUUGUGUGUAUAUACAUAUACUUAGGUAAUGUCUCUAUGUGCCCGAAUAUUCUGGACUGCUUUUAAUUUAUCUACAAAACUACAGAAAUCUAUAUAAACCUUUAAUAAUGAUAGAGUGUUAUUAGUACGUAUAUCUUAUCUCAUGCGCACUAUGAUGUCAUUGUAUUCGUAUUUGAGAAUGCGUAAAUGUGUGUUUGGGCUGACGAGAAUGGGGGAACGUAUACAUAACACUCGCCUAGCAAUUCGAAAGCAAGUUUUGCAUCGCCAUUUCCCUAAAUGCGGAAAAGACAGAAAAGGCGUUGGCAGGAAUCCUCUUGACCAGUUUCGAUUAUGUGUAGUACCACUGAUGGGCCUUAUGAAAUUGCGCAUUGUGGGAGGAAUCAUCUUACCUUGUGUAUUGAAUAAAUUGCAAAACCUAUUUUAAUAUGGAAAGGGCAAAAUAACAAUUCAAAUUAUCUUGUAACGCAUUGAUUUCCCAUUAAUCUAAGGAGCACGAGUUGUCCGCGAAACUGGACAAGUUGAGCCAUUAUGUGCCUCGAGGAAAUAUACAGUGAUCAUGGAAAACACGCACAUGAAACAGAUCUUUUUGAAAACCAUGCAGUGCACUAUGUUUUGUUUUUCCUAUGAUGUAUGUUAGAUGCAGUUUACGGUUGGUAAUAUCACGAGAUUUUUUUAAAUUCCCCUAAUUUUGCCAAAUAAGUAAAGAAAAGGUGAUAUUUAAUCAAAAUCCUGCACCCAUUCAUUCUUUUUAUUUGAGUUCCUCUCCCACGUGCAAUUUAUUAGGUGGUCUCCAAAACAUAAACUUUAGCUCGAAGACAACUUGCAUAUUGUGGUUUUCAAGUAAAUGGUUUUUCUUAACUUGCCAAGGCAACACAUGGGCUGUGAAAUACGCAGGGAGCUCCGUAUUAAUUUCAACCACUUGAGUUCGUUAACGUGUACCUGAGUGUCGGCAUCCAUGCCGGCAGUCAGGUGACCAUUCUCUUAGAUUUUUUCAGGUGGCCAUGCUCUUAAUUAGCUUAGUGACUUGCUGUUAGAACGCCACCUGGGACUGUCUGACAUUUUCUGCGCAUGCCCUUUCUUGUGUAUAUACACACGAUGUGGCAACGCAAUAAAAUAUUGUUGGAAA